Non-coding RNA from Pelobates cultripes (western spadefoot toad), 275 nucleotides. Lineage: Eukaryota; Metazoa; Chordata; Amphibia; Anura; Pelobatidae. The record is from the annotation of a GenBank genome assembly.
AUAUAAAUAAGUUCAACUCACAACUUUGACUUAGUGGAACAAGAAGUAGCACAUGGUGGAUAUCACAACUCUACUUGUAUCUCACUUGCCAUAUUUCAUUCCAUUGAUUUUUGACCCCAUUUCAAUAACCAACACAUCUGCUAUUUUAUGUAGUUCAUAAAAAAAUCUUAACAAUAGUGCCAUUGUUAGCCUCCCUCUUAUUAUGAUGCACUUCUUUACAGCAAAAUUGACUCAUGUAGCACGUCCUUUAAUGACCCAGAUGUGCGUCACGUCAG